Molecule: unclassified non-coding RNA, 359 nt
Filed under: soil metagenome
Description: partial contains 5.8S ribosomal RNA, internal transcribed spacer 2, and large subunit ribosomal RNA
Rfam family: 5.8S ribosomal RNA (bases 1-120)
Source: RNAcentral
GAUGAAGAACGUAGCGAAAUGCGAUAAGUAAUGUGAAUUGCAGAAUUCAGUGAAUCAUCGAAUCUUAGAACGCACAUUGCGCCCGCCGGUAUUCCGGCGGGCAUGCCUGUCCGAGCGUCAUUUCACCACUCAAGCCCAGCUUGGUGUUGGGGCACCCGGCCGCCUGGCGGUCGGGGCCCCCAAGUACAUCGGCGGUCCCGCUGGGGGCUCCGAGCGCAGUAGCUCGCGGUAAAACGCGCCCCUCGCUCGGCGGCUCCUUCGGGCUUCCAGCCGCUAAACCCGUCCACCGACGCCCUUCGAGUUGACCUCGGAUCAGGUAGGAAUACCCGCUGAACUUAAGCAUAUCAAUAAGCGGAGGA